RNAcentral lists this ribosomal RNA (549 nucleotides) under uncultured Glomus. RNAcentral's name for it is "SSU rRNA". It matches the Rfam family "Eukaryotic small subunit ribosomal RNA", at positions 548 to 1098 of the family's 1831-position model. The record is from RNAcentral. Lineage: Eukaryota; Fungi; Glomeromycota; Glomeromycetes; Glomerales; Glomeraceae.
UUGGAGGGCAAGUCUGGUGCCAGCAGCCGCGGUAAUUCCAGCUCCAAUAGCGUAUAUUAAAGUUGUUGCAGUUAAAAAGCUCGUAGUUGAAUUUCGGGGUUAGUAGGCUGGUCAUGCCACCGGUAUGUACUGGUCUUUCUGAUCCCUCCUUCCUGAUGAACUGUAAUGCCAUUAAUUUGGUGUUGCAGGGAAUCUGGACUGUUACUUUGAAAAAAUUAGAGUGUUUAAAGCAGGCUAACGCUUGAAUACAUUAGCAUGGAAUAAUGAAAUAGGACGUUCGAUCCUAUUUUGUUGGUUUCUAGGAUUGACGUAAUGAUUAAUAGGGAUAGUUGGGGGCAUUAGUAUUCAAUUGUCAGAGGUGAAAUUCUUGGAUUUAUUGAAGACUAACUACUGCGAAAGCAUUUGCCAAGGAUGUUUUCAUUAAUCAAGAACGAAAGUUAGGGGAUCGAAGACGAUCAGAUACCGUCGUAGUCUUAACCAUAAACUAUGCCGACUAGGGAUCGGAUGAUGUUAAUUUUUUAAUGACUCAUUCGGCGCCUUACGGGAAAC